GGAAGCGAGUGACGUAACCGAAGCUCAAGCUACACACGAUUCUCGUUUCAUUUUCUCUAUAUAAACGCGUUAGGGUUUCAAUUUAAACCAGCUUUUGAAUUUUGAUAUUUCCGCCGCUACACGAUGACUGGAAACACUGAAAUCGCGGUGACUAAAGAAGAACCACCCAAACACUCCCUACCUAACCUCUUCUCUUUCUUCCCUAAAUUCGAUUUUCAACUACCUUUCCUCCCUCCCAAACCCAAACCCAAACCCAAGCCUAAAUCCGAACCGCAAGCAGCGAAACCCGAGCACGAGCCUCCGAAGCCGAUCGUUGUACGCUUCCCGAAAAGCCAGGGUGCGGUGGUUUCUUCUUCGUCUCUGCAGGUUGAGUCCGACCACUCUUCCGCCGCCAAAACAUCCAAUCCUUUUGUGAUUUGGCAGGUUAAGACCAAUUUUGCUUAUAAAGAAUGGCGUUAAACAGCCACCCAAGAAGAAUACAGGGCAUUGAAAGACCUGGCUUCACAAGUUACUUGGAUCAAGUCCCUUCUACAAGAAAUUCUGCUGCGUCUACCAAGGACAUCAUUCUUAUGGUGUGACAAUUUUAGUGACAAAGUCUCGGGCAUCCAAUUCGAUACUUCCUGCGAGGUCAAAAUAUUUUGAGGUUUAUGCGGUAGGAGCGAUCAUGAUUUCAACAUGGAUUUGGGCAAGGUGGAAUGAGAGGAAGGGUCGAGGAGGGUCUUCCAAUGAUGAGCGGGCUGAAGGAAGUCAUUCUAAUGAUGAUAAUCAUUGAUCUUCAGGCGAUGAAUAGAAAUUUUCUAUAGCUGUAUAAAGUGCUAUGUCCAAUACUCACAUUCACAGUAUGAAUGUAAAUUUGUUUCAUUUGCUUUAAACAGCAAUGGAAAUCUGUUUCUUUACCAACAGUUGCUGAAUUGGUACAUAUUCUCUUUAGUAUCAAAUGAAUUCCUUCUCAUUUCUGUUAUCAAAUUCUCUGUCGCCACGUCAUUAGUCAGCAUCUAAAUAAUCUGUCAAUGCAUUUUUUCUUCAA
Non-coding RNA from Cajanus cajan (pigeon pea), 1027 nucleotides. Lineage: Eukaryota; Viridiplantae; Streptophyta; Magnoliopsida; Fabales; Fabaceae. The record is from RefSeq and is a predicted model, not a curated record.